GAUGAACGCUGGCGGCGUGCCUAAUACAUGCAAGUCGAGCGAACAGACGAGGAGCUUGCUCCUCUGACGUUAGCGGCGGACGGGUGAGUAACACGUGGAUAACCUACCUAUAAGACUGGGAUAACUUCGGGAAACCGGAGCUAAUACCGUAUAAUAUAUUGAACCGCAUGGUUCAAUAGUGAAAGACGGUUUUGCUGUCACUUAUAGAUGGAUCCGCGCCGCAUUAGCUAGUUGGUAAGGUAACGGCUUACCAAGGCGACGAUGCGUAGCCGACCUGAGAGGGGGAUCGGCCACACUGGAACUGAGACACGGUCAAGACUCCUAAGGGAGGCAGCAGUAGGGAAUCUUCCGCAAUGGGCGAAAGCAUGACGGAGCAACGCCGCGUGAGUGAUGAAGGUCUUCGGAUCGUAAAACUCUGUUAUUAGGGAAGAACAAAUGUGUAAGUAACUAUGCACGUCUUGACGGUACCUAAUCAGAAAGCCACGGCUAACUACGUG
This 497-nucleotide ribosomal RNA is filed under the name uncultured bacterium. Its description in RNAcentral is "partial 16S ribosomal RNA". It matches the Rfam family "Bacterial small subunit ribosomal RNA", at positions 28 to 507 of the family's 1533-position model. The record is from RNAcentral.